AUUAAUAUGUUAAUCCCAGGUCAUUAGUAGUUAAGUUCUUGAAAAUCAAGAUUGAUGGCGGUAUUUUAGUCUAUUCAGAGGAAUCUGCCCUGUAAUUGAUGUUCCACGAUUUAAUUUACUUAGAUUUUUAGUUUGUAUAUCGCUGUAGAUCGAAUAUUUCUAUUGAAUUUGAAUGUUCACAGGUUUGAGGGAAAGUAAAUCAAGUCAAGAUGUAGCUUACAUCUAAGAAGAGGUGGAUUACAAUAGAGAUAUUUGUGGUUAGUUGCUUGUGAAGGCAACUAUAAAAUGGAUUUGAAAGUAAUUUUUUACAGAUUUAGAAAAUGAUUCUAGCUCUAAAA
This 338-nucleotide ribosomal RNA is filed under the name Coccotrypes marginatus. RNAcentral's name for it is "partial 12S ribosomal RNA". The record is from RNAcentral. Lineage: Eukaryota; Metazoa; Arthropoda; Insecta; Coleoptera; Curculionidae.